Molecule: transfer RNA, 63 nt
Filed under: Bemisia tabaci
Lineage: Eukaryota; Metazoa; Arthropoda; Insecta; Hemiptera; Aleyrodidae
Also listed under: 1 other name
Description: tRNA-Tyr
Source: RNAcentral
AAUAAAGUGCCUGACAAAAGGGUUAAAUUGUAAAUUUAACUAUAAGCCCACGCUUCUUUAUUA